Molecule: transfer RNA, 74 nt
Filed under: SAR202 cluster bacterium
Lineage: Bacteria; Bacillati; Chloroflexota; Dehalococcoidia
Description: tRNA-His
Rfam family: tRNA
About the family: Transfer RNA (tRNA) molecules are approximately 80 nucleotides in length.
Source: RNAcentral
GUGACUGUGGUGUAGUGGCAGCACGUCAGGACGUGGCCCUGGAAGUAAGGGUUCAAUUCCCUUCAGUCACCCCA